GACGAACGCUGGCGGCGUGCUUAACACAUGCAAGUCGAACGGAAAGGCCUGCUUUCCCUUGUGGAUUGCGGGUACUCGAGUGGCGAACGGGCGAGUAACACGUGAGUGAUCUGCCCCCAACUUGGGUAUAAGCCUGGGAAACUGGGUCUAAUUCCCGAUAGGACUGCAGGGUGGUGCCUGUGGUGGAAAACGAUUUUCUAGUGGUUGGGGAUGAGCUCGCGGCCUAUCAGCUUGUUGGUGGGGUAAUGGCCUACCAAGGCGGCGACGGGCAGCCGGCCUGAGAGGGUGGACGGCCACAUUGGGACUGAGAUACGGCCCAGACUCCUACGGGAGGCAGCAGUGGGGAAUAUUGCACAAUGGGCGGAAGCCUGAUGCAGCGACGCCGCGUGGGGGAUGACGGCCUUCGGGUUGUAAACUCCUUUCGACCGCGAGGAAGCCACCUGGUUGGAAGGGUGGUGACGGUAGUGGUAGAAGAAGCACCGGCUAACUACGUG
Molecule: ribosomal RNA, 494 nt
Filed under: uncultured bacterium
Lineage: Bacteria
Description: partial 16S ribosomal RNA
Rfam family: Bacterial small subunit ribosomal RNA
Source: RNAcentral